AUACGGAGGAUCCGAGCGUUAUCCGGAUUUAUUGGGUUUAAAGGGUGCGUAGGCUGUGCGUUAAGUCUGGGGUGAAAUGCCGGCGCUCAACGACGGAGCGGCACUUGAUACUGGCGUGCUGGAGUGCGGAUGCCGUUGGUGGAAUGAGUGGUGUAGCGGUGAAAUGCUUAGAGAUCACUCAGAACACCGAUGGCGAAGGCAUCUGACGAAUCCGUCACUGACGCUGAGGCACGAAAGCGUGGGGAUAGAACAGGAUUAGAUUCCCUGGUAUUCCACGCCGUAAACGAUGAUGACUAUCCGUCGGCGAUAGACAGCCGGUGGCCAAGCGAAAGCGAUAAGUCAUCCACCUGGGGAGUACGGCGGCAACGAUGAAACUCAAAGGAAUUGGCGGGG
Molecule: ribosomal RNA, 393 nt
Filed under: uncultured bacterium
Lineage: Bacteria
Description: partial 16S ribosomal RNA
Rfam family: Bacterial small subunit ribosomal RNA
Source: RNAcentral